Non-coding RNA from Poecilia reticulata (guppy), 854 nucleotides. NCBI's taxonomy places the organism in Eukaryota, Metazoa, Chordata, Actinopteri, Cyprinodontiformes, Poeciliidae. The record is from RefSeq and is a predicted model, not a curated record.
UUGAUCUACUUCUGCAUGGGGGUGGAGCUGGUGUCAUGUCAGAUGCAUUCAUAGUGGAAUAAAUCACAAAAGAAGCGACACUUAUUUGUAAGAUUACCGUGGCACCCAUAAGAGGGAGACAUCCCAUUAAGUGUCAACAACAUGGAAGGAGGUGAAAAUCACGUUGCUUUGUAGGGAGCAGAAAAAAAUCCCACCGGUUUUCCUCUCUGUUUUCUGACCCUGCAAAGAGGUGACCAGUAAUCUUAUUCACACACUGCUUCCAUCACAGACCUCUCCAUAUGCCUUACAUAAGCCAGUAGAGGGCUUCCUAACACCAGAGGACAUGUGAAAGUGUGAGGAGGACUACCAGAGACAACAACGGCAGCAUGAAUGUCGCCAGAGGAUCCCUUCUCUCACCCAACCACCCUGUUAGAACCUCACAACCUGUUUCAAAUGAAAUUAGCAUAAUUAAGAAUUAACAUGCAUUAAUUGUUGUGUUUAAUGCAAACUGAGGACAAAUGUGUCAUUUCCUGCGGAAGAACCGCUAAAUGCUUUGUCACCUCCCCAGAGGCGUCAUAGGUGAAAAUAUAAUAAAUGACUAAAUAAAAUGGAGAACAAGCAACUGUUUUGUCUAGAUGCAAUGAGGAUUGGAGUUAUUUACAGUGUAGGUAGUUCAAUGCAGGUAAUUAAUAGACUGGGUGCUACACUUGCUGUCAUGCUUGCUUAGAGGCAUGCAUUUGUUUGCGGUGUCAAUUAGAACUGUGAAAAAAACUGAUGCUUCCAUGCAUGUUAUUCCAAGACAUUAUAUUAACUAACUACCAUUUCUUCCAUGUGAGGCAUACUGAUGAAAUAAAUAUACUGUGUUAAGGCCUUGA